Molecule: transfer RNA, 77 nt
Filed under: Flavobacteriales bacterium
Lineage: Bacteria; Pseudomonadati; Bacteroidota; Flavobacteriia; Flavobacteriales
Description: tRNA-Arg
Rfam family: tRNA
About the family: Transfer RNA (tRNA) molecules are approximately 80 nucleotides in length. Their secondary structure includes four short double-helical elements and three loops (D, anti-codon, and T loops).
Source: RNAcentral
GGACGCGUAGCUCAAUUGGAUAGAGUACUUGAUUACGGCUCAAGAGGUUGAGGGUUCGACUCCUUCCGCGUUCACCA